GAAACGAGGGCUAAUACCGGAUAAGACUUUAGUUCAUAAGAAUUAGAGUUAAAAGUUUCGGCGCUGAAGGAUGGGUCUGCGUCCCAUUAGCUAGUUGGUAAGGUAAUGGCUUACCAAGGCAACGAUGGGUAGCGGGUCUGAGAGGAUGAUCCGCCACACUGGCACUGAGAUACGGGCCAGACUCCUACGGGAGGCAGCAGUGGGGAAUCUUGCGCAAUGGGCGAAAGCCUGACGCAGCAAUGCCGCGUGAGUGAAGAAGGCUUUCGAGUCGUAAAGCUCUUUAUCUCUGCGAAGAUAAUGACGGUAGCAGAGGAAUAAGCACCGGCUAACUACGUGCCAGCAGCCGCGGUAAUACGUAGGGUGCGAGCGUUGUUCGGAAUCACUGGGCGUAAAGGGCGUGUAGGCGAAUGGAUCAGCUAGAGGUGAAAGCCCGGAGCUCAACUCCGGAAUAGCUUCUGGAACUGCCCAUUUAGAGAGGGUCAAGGGCUAGCGGAAUUCCUGGUGUAGCGGUGAAAUGCGUAGAUAUCAGGAGGAACACCGGCGGCGAAAGCGGCUGGCUGGGGCCACUCUGACGCUGAGGCGCGAAAGCG
RNAcentral lists this ribosomal RNA (590 nucleotides) under uncultured bacterium. Its description in RNAcentral is "bacterial SSU rRNA". It matches the Rfam family "Bacterial small subunit ribosomal RNA", at positions 153 to 761 of the family's 1533-position model. The record is from RNAcentral.